UACGUAGGGUGCAAGCGUUGUCCGGAAUUAUUGGGCGUAAAGAGCUCGUAGGCGGUUUGUCGCGUCUGCUGUGAAAACGCGAGGCUCAACCUCGCGCCUGCAGUGGGUACGGGCAGACUAGAGUGCGGUAGGGGAGAUUGGGAUUCCGUGGUGUAGCGGUGGAAUGCGCAGAUAUCAGGAGGAACACCGAUGGCGAAGGCAGAUCUCUGGGCCGUUACUGACGCUGAGGAGCGAAAGCGUGGGGAGCGAACAGG
This 254-nucleotide ribosomal RNA is filed under the name uncultured bacterium. RNAcentral's name for it is "partial 16S ribosomal RNA". It matches the Rfam family "Bacterial small subunit ribosomal RNA", at positions 524 to 776 of the family's 1533-position model. The record is from RNAcentral.